UCAGGAUGAACGCUAGCUACAGGCUUAACACAUGCAAGUCGAGGGGCAGCAUUCUGAAAGCUUGCUUCAGAGAUGGCGACCGGCGCACGGGUGAGUAACGCGUAUCCAACCUCCCAUAGUAGAGGAUAGCCCGGCGAAAGUCGGAUUAAUACUCUAUGUUAUUCAAUGCGGACAUCUAAUUUGAAUCAAAGAUUUAUCGCUAUGGGAUGGGGAUGCGUCUGAUUAGCUUGUUGGCGGGGUAACGGCCCACCAAGGCUACGAUCAGUAGGGGUUCUGAGAGGAAGGUCCCCCACAUUGGUACUGAGACACGGACCAAACUCCUACGGGAGGCAGCAGUGAGGAAUAUUGGUCAAUGGACGAGAGUCUGAACCAGCCAAGUAGCGUGCAAGGAUGACUGCCCUAUGGGUUGUAAACUGCUUUUAUGCGGGAAUAAAGUCAGGUACGCGUACCUGUUUGUAUGUACCGCAUGAAUAAGGACCGGCUAAUUCCGUGCCAGCCGCCGC
This 503-nucleotide ribosomal RNA is filed under the name uncultured bacterium. RNAcentral's name for it is "bacterial SSU rRNA". It matches the Rfam family "Bacterial small subunit ribosomal RNA", at positions 24 to 518 of the family's 1533-position model. The record is from RNAcentral.